RNAcentral lists this ribosomal RNA (460 nucleotides) under uncultured bacterium. RNAcentral's name for it is "partial 16S ribosomal RNA". It matches the Rfam family "Bacterial small subunit ribosomal RNA", at positions 338 to 795 of the family's 1533-position model. The record is from RNAcentral.
ACUACGGGGGGCUGCAGUGAGGAAUAUUGGUCAAUGGGCGGAAGCCUGAACCAGCCAAGUAGCGUGCAGGAUGACGGCCCUACGGGUUGUAAACUGCUUUUAUACGGGAAUAACGCGCCUUACGUGUAGGGCUUUGCAUGUACCGUAUGAAUAAGGACCGGCUAAUUCCGUGCCAGCAGCCGCGGUAAUACGGAGGGUCCGGGCGUUAUCCGGAUUUAUUGGGGUUAAAGGGAGCGUAGGCCGCAUGUCAAGCGUGCUGUGAAAUGUCCGGGCUCAACCCGGGCCUUGCAGCGCGAACUGGCGUGCUUGAGUCCGCGGCAAGCAGGCGGAAUUCGUCGGGUAGCGGUGAAAUGCUUAGAUAUGACGAAGAACCCCGAUUGCGAAGGCAGCUUGCUGCAGCGGAACUGACGCUGAUGCUCGAAAGCGCGGGUAUCGAACAGGAUUAGAUACCCUUGUAGUC